AGGCCAAACCGGGAGUAGCAAUACACCCGGGGUAAGGACCGCGGAAGGCACUGAAAAGCAUAGCAGAAUCACUUGGGAAAGUGAACCGAAGAAUGUGAGAGUCAUGUAAGCGAAAUGCGGAUCAGGCCGGCGGUAUCCGGAGUAGAUGCGGACACGAGGAAUCCGCACCGAAGACGGGGGGACCACCCUCCAAGCCUAAAUACUACCCAAUGACCGAUAGAGAAGAAGUACUGUGAAGGAAAGGUGAAAAGAACCCCUGGCGGGGAGUGAAAGAGAACCUGAAACUCUGUGUUUACAAGCACACAAAGCGCGUCAAAGCGCGAUGUGGUACUUUUUGUAGAACGGUCCGGCGAGUUAUUGUAUGCAGCGAGGUUAAGUAUUUCAGAUACGGAGCCGAAGGGAAACCGAGGGUGAACAGCCCGAGCGAGUUGCAUAUAAUAGACCCGAAACCGGGUGACCUAUCCAUGUGCAGGUUGAAGGUGGGGUAAAGCCCACUGGAGGACCGAACCGACCCCCGUUGAAAAGUUGGCGGAUGACGUGUGGAUAGCGGAGAAAUUCCAAUCGAACCCGGAUAUAGCUGGUUCUCCCCGAAAUAGCUUUAGGGCUAGCCUCGAAUAUAUUUACCGGAGGUAAAGCACUGAAUGGUCGAGGGGUCGAGAGACUACCAACACCUAUCAAACUAAGAAUACCGGAUAAAUGAGUUCGGGAGUCAGACUACGUGAGAUAAGUCUCGUGGUCAAAAGGGAAACAGCCCAGACCCACAGCUAAGGUCCCCAAUGUAUGCUAAGUGGAAAACGAUGUGACAAUGCUAAGACAACUAGGAUGUUGGCUUAGAAGCAGCCACUCAUUCAAAGAGUGCGUAAUAGCUCACUAGUCGAGUGAUGUUGCGCGGAAAAUUCAACGGGGCUAAGCAUACAACCGAAGCUUGGGCAGUAGUGAUACUGGGUAGGGGAGCGUUCUGUACGGGCAGAAGCAUCAGCGGAAGCAGGUGUGGACUGUACAGAAGUGAGAAUGCCGGAAUGAGUAGCGAGAAUUGUGUGAGAAUCAUAAUGGCCGAAAAUCUAAGGUUUCCGGGGGUAGGGUCGUCCACCCCGGGUUAGCCGGGAGCUAAGGCGAGGCCGCGAGGCGUAGUCGAUGCACAAACGGUAGAGAUUCCGUUGCCGCCAGAUCUUAAGUAACUGACACGAGGGUAGAGUUCAACCCGGCCGAUGGUAGAGCCGGGCGAAAGGGACUGAAGAAUAGUAGGGAAGUGAACGAAGCCAGCGGCGAGAAAAGGUUAUGUAUGAAAUCAGGCGCCCGUACCGCAAACCGACACAGGUAGAUGAGGAGAGGAUCCUAAGGCCAGCGGGAGAAGGGUUGUUAAGGAACUCGGCAUAUUGACCCCGUAACUUCGGAAGAAGGGGUGCCGCAGAAAUGCGGCCACAGUGAAAAGGCCCAGGCGACUGUUUAUCAAAAACACAGGUCUCUGCAAAACCGAAAGGUGAAGUAUAGGGGCUGACGCCUGCCCGGUGCCGGAAGGUCAAGGGGAUUGCUUAGCGCAAGCGAAGGCAAGAACUUAAGCCCCGGUAAACGGCGGCCGUAACUAUAACGGUCCUAAGGUAGCGAAAUUCCUUGUCAGGUAAGUUCUGACCCGCACGAAUGGCGUAACGAUCUGGGCACUGUCUCAACAGCCCGCCCGGCGAAAUUGUAGUACCGGUGAAGAUGCCGGUUACCCGCGACUAGACGGAAAGACCCCAUGGAGCUUUACUGUAGUUUGAUACUGAAUUUCGGCACAUUAUGCACAGGAUAGGUGGGAGACAGAGAAGUAAGCGCUUCGGCGUUUGCGGAGUCGCCGUUGGGAUACCACUCUUGAUGUAUCGAAGUUCUAACCUGCUCCCGUAAUCCGGGAGGGGGACAAUGUCAGAUGGGCAGUUUGACUGGGGCGGUCGCCUCCUAAAGAGUAACGGAGGCGCUCAAAGGUCGGCUCAGCGCGGACGGAAAUCGCGCAAUGAGUGUAAACGUAUAAGCCGGCCUAACUGCGAGACCUACAAGUCGAGCAGUAACGAAAGUUGGAGUUAGUGAUCAGGUGGUAGUGAGUGGAAAUGCCAUCGCUUAACGGAUAAAAGCUACCCUGGGGAUAACAGGCUGAUCUCCCCCAAGAGUUCACAUCGACGGGGAGGUUUGGCACCUCGAUGUCGGCUCAUCACAUCCUGGGGCUUGGAGAAGGUCCCAAGGGUUCGGCUGUCCGCCGAUUAAAGUGGUACGCGAGCUGGGUUCAGAACGUCGUGAGACAGUUCGGUCCCUAUCUGUCGUGGGCGAAGGAGAUUUGAGAGGAGCUGACCUUAGUACGAGAGGACCGGGUCGGACGCACCACCGGUGCAUCAGUUGUUCUGCCAAGGGCAUAGCUGAGUAGCCGCGUGCGGGAGUGAUAAACGCUGAAAGCAUCUAAGCGUGAAACAUGCCUCAAGAUAAGAUCUCCCAUCCGAGAGGAGUAAGGACACUUGAAGACUACGAGUUAAAUAGGUCGGAGGUGUAAGCACAGUAAUGUGUUCAGCUGACCGAUACUAAAUGUCCGAGGGCUUGAACU
This 2566-nucleotide ribosomal RNA is filed under the name human gut metagenome. RNAcentral describes it as "bacterial LSU rRNA". It matches the Rfam family "Bacterial large subunit ribosomal RNA". The record is from RNAcentral.